RNAcentral lists this long non-coding RNA (530 nucleotides) under Lathyrus oleraceus (garden pea). RNAcentral describes it as "Pisum sativum (pea) long non-coding RNA (PSAT_LNC026220)". The record is from RNAcentral. Lineage: Eukaryota; Viridiplantae; Streptophyta; Magnoliopsida; Fabales; Fabaceae.
AGUAAAAGUUGGAAGUUAGCAUUGCAUAAUAUAAAGGUUAGAAGUUAGGUUAAAAGAACAAUCACUUAAGGAUCCUCUAUCAACAAAUCAAAGGACUCAAACAUAUGUUUCACCCUGGGAUAACCUAUCAUCAAUUCAAAGUGUCAAGAAUGAUCAAUUGAUCAUUCAUCAACAAGUUUGAAUUGAAGAAGAUUGAAUCAACCGAAGGAUAUUCAUCUAUGGAUAAUUUGAGAUGAUGAAGAUUAAUCAAUCAAGCAAUCACAAAAGAUGAACAAGGGUUGGAAUAAGAAGAAUUAAAGAGUUAGUAGUUAGAUUGUAGCGAGUUAAUAUUGCAAGCAAUAAAGGAGAUUAAAAUCAAAUUAUAAUACAAUUAAUCCAAUUAUUAUACUAAAAAAUAAAAUAAAAAUAAAAUUUCAAAAUAAAGGUAGAAUUAAAAAUGAAUUAAAAUUCAAUUAAUCAAACUAUACUACUAACAAAAUGAAAUUAAUUUCAAAAUAAAAAAAAUUAAAUUGAAAUUAAAUUAAAAUGCG